Molecule: unclassified non-coding RNA, 237 nt
Filed under: plant metagenome
Description: partial contains small subunit ribosomal RNA, internal transcribed spacer 1, and 5.8S ribosomal RNA
Source: RNAcentral
UCUCCGUUGGUGAACCAGCGGAGGGAUCAUUACCGAGUUUACAACUCCCAAACCCCAUGUGAACCUUACCAAACGUUGCUUCGGCGGGAUGCCCCGGGCGCGGGCCGCAAGGCCUCAGCCCCGGAACCAGGCGCCCGCCGGAGGCCCAAACCAAACUCUUGUUUUUGUAGAAUCUUCUGAGUGGCCUUUUAGGCAAAAAAUGAAUCGAAACUUUCAACAACGGAUCUCUUGGUUCUG